GACAGAGGGUGCGAGCGUUAAUCGGAAUGACUGGGCGUAAAGGGCGUGUAGGUGGCUAUUUAGGUUUGGUGUGAAAGCCCCCGGCUCAACCGGGGAAGUGCGCCAAAUACCGGGUGGCUAGAGUAAAAGAGAGGGCUACGGAAUUUCCGGUGUAGCGGUGAAAUGCGCAGAUAUCAGGAAGAACACCCGUGGCGAAGGCGGCUCUCUGGGACGGUACUGACGCUGAGACGCGAAAGCGUGGGGAGCGAACAGG
This 253-nucleotide ribosomal RNA is filed under the name uncultured bacterium. RNAcentral's name for it is "partial 16S ribosomal RNA". It matches the Rfam family "Bacterial small subunit ribosomal RNA", at positions 524 to 776 of the family's 1533-position model. The record is from RNAcentral.